RNAcentral lists this transfer RNA (75 nucleotides) under Actinokineospora bangkokensis. RNAcentral describes it as "tRNA-Val". It matches the Rfam family "tRNA". Rfam says of the family: Transfer RNA (tRNA) molecules are approximately 80 nucleotides in length. Their secondary structure includes four short double-helical elements and three loops (D, anti-codon, and T loops). Lineage: Bacteria; Bacillati; Actinomycetota; Actinomycetes; Pseudonocardiales; Pseudonocardiaceae. The record is from RNAcentral.
GGGCGAUUAGCUCAGUGGGAGAGCACUACCUUGACACGGUAGGGGUCACUGGUUCAAUCCCAGUAUCGCCCACCC